GAAUUUUGGACAAUGGGGGCAACCCUGAUCCAGCCAUGCCGCGUGCGGGAAGAAGGCCUUCGGGUUGUAAACCGCUUUUGGUCGGGAAGAAAAGGCGCCGGAUAAUACCUGGCGUUCUUGACGGUACCGGCAGAAUAAGCCCCGGCUACAUACGUGCCAGCAGCCGCGGUAAUCCGUAGGGUGCGAGCGUUAAUCGGAAUUGCUGGGCGGAAAGCGUGCGCAGGCGGUUCGUUAAGUCAGAUGUGAAAGCCCCGGGCUUAACCUGGGAACGGCAUUUGAAACUGGCGGGCUGGAGUGUGGCAGAGGGGGGUGGAAUUCCACGUGUAGCAGUGAAAUGCGUAGAGAUGUGGAGGAACACCGAUGGCGAAGGCAGCCCCCUGGGCCAACACUGACGCUCAGGCACGAAAGCGUGGGGAGCAAACAGG
RNAcentral lists this ribosomal RNA (425 nucleotides) under uncultured bacterium. RNAcentral's name for it is "bacterial SSU rRNA". It matches the Rfam family "Bacterial small subunit ribosomal RNA", at positions 359 to 776 of the family's 1533-position model. The record is from RNAcentral.